UGGGGAAUAUUGCACAAUGGGCGCAAGCCUGAUGCAGCCAUGCCGCGUGUGUGAAGAAGGCCUUCGGGUUGUAAAGCACUUUCAGCGGGGAGGAAGGCGAUAAGGUUAAUAACCUUAUCAAUUGACGUUACCGACAGAAGAAGCACCGGCUAACUCCGUGCCAGCAGCCGCGGUAAUACGGAGGGUGCAAGCGUUAAUCGGAAUUACUGGGCGUAAAGCGCACGCAGGCGGUUGAUUGAGUCAGAUGUGAAAUCCCCGGGCUUAACCCGGGAAUUGCAUCUGAUACUGGUCAGCUAGAGUCGUGUAGAGGGGGGUAGAAUUCCAUGUGUAGCGGUGAAAUGCGUAGAGAUGUGGAGGGAUACCGGUGGCGAAGGCGGCCCCCUGGACAAAGACUGACGCUCAGGUGCGAAAGAGUGGGGAGCAAACAGG
RNAcentral lists this ribosomal RNA (429 nucleotides) under Chloroflexota bacterium. RNAcentral describes it as "Chloroflexi bacterium partial 16S ribosomal RNA". It matches the Rfam family "Bacterial small subunit ribosomal RNA", at positions 355 to 776 of the family's 1533-position model. The record is from RNAcentral. Lineage: Bacteria; Bacillati; Chloroflexota.